AGAUCCUAUACUAAAGUGCGUAAUAUGCACUAGAGUCUAUUAAAAAAGAAAAAAUCAUAAGAUCAGAUUUGAGUAAUUCAACAUAUCUUCUAAAAGCAUGUCAAUAUUUCUUUAGGUUCUCUAAGUAUGUACCUCUGAACUCUUCAAGAUCUCUUAGUAUAUUGAUCAAUUCAGUUAAGGUGCUAUAACAUUUAUUCAUAUAAUAGUUUCAUAAACUACCUAUAUGAAUCAGGGAUUGCAGGAUCAAAUCC
This 251-nucleotide long non-coding RNA is filed under the name Elaeis guineensis (African oil palm). RNAcentral describes it as "long non-coding RNA (EGUI_LNC050904)". The record is from RNAcentral. Lineage: Eukaryota; Viridiplantae; Streptophyta; Magnoliopsida; Arecales; Arecaceae.